CGAAGAACCUAUCUGUCAACUUCCACCAUCCCACUAAGACUUGAGAAAGAAGCCCUCCAUCUGCCCGCAACAAUGAAACUUUACACAUUGUUUCUGAUCGUCAUCCUCGCAGCCCUGCUGCUGCUAGGACAAACCGAGGCUGGUCGAUUGAAAAAAUUCGGCAAGAAAGUGGAGAAAGCAGGCAAGAGAGUGUUUAAAGCCGCCGAAAAGGCUGUCCCCGUCGCCGUUGGGGCCCAGGCACUAGGACGCUAAGUGUACAGAGCAGCAAAGUGCCGAAAAUAUUUUACCCGUUUCAAAUGAACGAGAGAUAAAGGACGAUUGGUGUCAAAUUAAAAUUGGUAGUUAAAACUGUUGUAACAUGAAAUUAAUGAAAAUGGCAUAUCGGCAUAUUCAAUAGCAAACCAAAGUAAAAUGUAUAGGUAUUUUUUUUUCUUCCUCCGUAUGGGUCACGUGUAGCAAUAAAUAGAUAAAAAUUUCAAACCUUAUUUUGAUUUGAAACAACGUAAAUGAAUUGGAUCAAUUAUCUUCGUUUGCAUUCUUUGAAUUUGAACUGGACAAAUACUAGAUAUAGCAUUCCGCGUCGAACACCCGACAGAAACGGACGUGCAAAGUGAUCGUUCUAUUACAAUCCGGUCCGUGUGUACGAAUAGCCAAACAAAAGAGUGUAUUAUUCAAGGCCAUCAGUUGACAGUCGAGUCCGUGUCGCUGUGCUGAGUGAUCUCACACCCGGCUCACUGCUGGUGGCUGCAUUGGUGCUGCUGUACUGGUGCUGCUGGCUGCUUUGGGUGCAGCUUCGAACGAUCGGACAACCACUGCUGGAAGGAAGAAGUAAAGAGCGGAAACUGCUUUGU
Wyeomyia smithii (pitcher-plant mosquito) is the source of this 851-nucleotide long non-coding RNA. RefSeq lists it as uncharacterized. Lineage: Eukaryota; Metazoa; Arthropoda; Insecta; Diptera; Culicidae. The record is from RefSeq and is a predicted model, not a curated record. The transcript is spliced from 3 exons.